RNAcentral lists this long non-coding RNA (381 nucleotides) under Panax ginseng (ginseng). Its description in RNAcentral is "long non-coding RNA (PGIN_LNC001703)". The record is from RNAcentral. Lineage: Eukaryota; Viridiplantae; Streptophyta; Magnoliopsida; Apiales; Araliaceae.
CGAAUUGGAUGAUCGGGCCGAGGGCUGCCCCCUCUUCCCCUCACUCUCCUUUCCCUAAUAUGAACCUUGAGUCAUCAAAGCCUUUCUGACUCGGCCUGGCCCGGGAAAGCAAAUACUACUCCGAUUGAGCCCACUUUAUUCUAGUACUAGUUAGUAUAAUUAUAAGAAAAUGGAAUAAUAAUAAAUAUUAGUAAUAAUAAUCAUAAGAAUAGUCUCUGUCGAGCCUUAUUUAGACGCGAGCCUCUCCUGUCUAGUCGACCUCACUACCGCAUCGCUUGACCUUCUUGAUCGCCAUCGCCAGGUUGAAAAGCAGCAAAGAGAGUUUCCGCCGGGAAGGGGCACCUGUCCUUUUGCAUAUAGCACUCCAUCCUCUCCCCUGGG